AAAAAUGCUAAUUUCAUCGGCUCUAGCAUCAAAUUAACGCAACAUCUGCGAGGAGAACGGAUAUUAGCAUCCCAUUUUCUAGAUU
This is a long non-coding RNA of Populus euphratica (Euphrates poplar), 85 nucleotides long. RefSeq lists it as uncharacterized. NCBI's taxonomy places the organism in Eukaryota, Viridiplantae, Streptophyta, Magnoliopsida, Malpighiales, Salicaceae. The record is from RefSeq and is a predicted model, not a curated record. The transcript has 3 exons.